AAGUCGUGACAAGGUUUCCGUAGGUGAACCUGCGGAAGGAUCAUUAGUGAAUACAAACGCUUGGGUGUCUCUGCCUCCGAGCAAGCCCUUCGCACCCUUCACAUCCAUAACACCUGUGCACUGUAAGAUGGCUCCUCUUUUGGAGCUGUCUGCCCAUUUUUAUACUAUAUAUGUAACAAAUGUAAAUUAUUAUAACCUAAUAAA
Molecule: unclassified non-coding RNA, 204 nt
Filed under: plant metagenome
Description: partial contains small subunit ribosomal RNA and internal transcribed spacer 1
Rfam family: Eukaryotic small subunit ribosomal RNA (bases 1-46)
Source: RNAcentral